UAGAGGGCGGAUGGGUGGGAUGGGGACACCGGCUUGAGGGACAGGUGUCAACGAUACGCAACACCGCGCGCACUCGCACACCCCCGGGGCGGAAGUAUCCUUCCUCUUUCCGGUUGGGAACGACCGGCUGGGAAAGGAACCUGCGGAGGAUCCAGGCGGGCGCGGUUCACCCGGACACACGGUAUAUGAAUUCUACAGACGAUCUGCAAUGAAUUUCCCGCCGUUCGGAGGUCACUUCCCCAGCACUAUACCGAGUAUCCAUCAGUUCGCGACCGAUAGCUCCAGCGGUGCGGGCGCGCGUUACGCCAAUCAUUUUCCCAACCAGCCUCCGAUCGGAGUGCCGGUUAUGGGAAAGUACCGUCCCGAGAACAACGGCGUACAAUCCGCACAGUCGCAAGUGAUGAUGAACAAUAAAACCAGCUAUCCCAACAGUAAUGUUCACCAUUAUCCGAAUGUGCCGUACUCGCAAGCCCAGUCGGUUCAACAACGGCCGACCAAUUCGCCUGGAAUGCAAGAGAAACGCUCGUAUCAUCAGCAGUCCACGGAAACAAUAAAUCAGCAAGAUGUUUGCAAUCUCCUGCAAGACAAGGAUAAGAGUAAGGAGAAAAAAGAGGAACAGCGCAACGGAGAGACUGCCACAAAUGGUACUCAGCAGGAUUACACGAUGCAUCAACAUCAUCAACAGCAUGCUCAUACUCAAACACCUGCUUCUAUGCCAGCUACGUGGCAGUCGCUCGCGACUCCUGGAUCCACCGUAGCCGAUUAUCUCAGUCAUUUGCCGGCUAGUACUCUGCCGUUGAGUUUACAUCAUUUCCUCAAAUAUUCCGCUGAAAGUAUCAAGAAGGAGUCGGAGAUGGCGCAAACUACUUCGGUGGCUGUCGCAACCACAACGACACCCAAUAUCAUGAUGUCGCCGAAUAAUAAAAAGAAGAAAAAGAAGAAGACGCCGAAGGAAAAGAAGCCACGUCCAAAGCCUGGCGAAAUUCGUCUGACGACAGCGUUGGACGGCUCGACGUUGUACUGUUGUCCGGAAUGCCAUAUGGCGUAUCCGGAGCGAGAAUUGUUGGAGCAGCAUCUUUUAGGUCACACCUUGGAGAGAAGAUUCGUCUGUGACAUAUGCGGCGCCGGCUUGAAACGAAAGGAUCAUCUCACGCGUCAUAAACAAAGUCAUAAUCCCGAGCGACCUUACGUUUGCACUGUCUGCUUGAAGGCUUUUAAGAGAAAGGAACAACUGACAUUACAUUUUGUAAUACAUUCUGGGGAGAAACGGCACGUCUGUACCGAAUGUGGCAAAGGAUUUUAUCGAAAGGAUCAUUUACGGAAACAUACCAGAAGCCACAUCGCCAGAAGAGUGAAAGCUGAACUAAGUCAAAACGCUAGUACGCAACAGAAUCAACAACAAAAUAACGUUUCGAAUAUGCAAACGACCACCGUUUCGGCAUCGUCUGUUCUUCCGGGCGGGCAUCCCGGUUCUCUCCUGUCCUGAGCCCCGCCACCAGGGAACUUUCAGGUUCCCCAUCCAAACAAUAUUCUUCACACGCAUACUUCGCAUCAUUCGCUGCAUCAUCAUCAUCUAACGGCGGUUAAUGUGGCGCAUCAAUCGAGCAUCACGCCACUCGCUACAUCCGGUCAUUAUCAGUCGCAUGAGCUUAGCUUUUUGGGACACGUUAAAGAUUUCUGAGACGAGGAGAGGACCUCGACAAAGAGGUAACACCAAGACGCUAACCGAUCGUCACUGUCUCGUCGUCGACGUAUGAGAUCUCCGCGCGUGUACAACUUCGUGUUCGCGGAUGCCCGGUGCACGGCCGUGCCCAUGCCAUAGUGGUUAUUCUCGCAGAUGUAGACCACCGGCAGAUUCCACAGCUUCGCCAUGUUCCAAGCUUCGUGGAGUUGGCCCUGCGAAGCCGCACCGUCGCCGUACAACGUAAAAGCCACGCCGCCUGUGCCGUUGUAUUUGUGGGCCAGAGCCAUACCGGUGCCGAUCGGUACCUGGAUCGCGAAAGCAGACGCUAGAGUUCCAGGAGUUGGAGACAUUAUUCAUCAGGAGGCGAGGACCCCAAGUAGAAAAGUCAAAAUAAUAUGUCAGUUUGAUGUCAUAUUGAUCAAAUUUGGACUCCAGAUUUGCUUCCCUGUUCUACUUGGCACCAUUUGUGGUUUACCUGUCCGCCAACGAUACCGUCGCCGCCGUAGAAUCGCGGCGCAUACAUGUGCAUCGAGCCGCCCUUGCCCUUGGAGGCACCAGUUUUGCGUCCCAUAAGUUCCGCGAAAACCGCCCGCGCCGGGAUGUCGAAGAUGACAGCGAAGCCGUGACACCUGUACGCCGUGAUGACGGUGUCCUGCUCGGCAAUGGCCAUCCUGAGACCCAUCACUAUAGCUUCCUGCAAAGGAUCAUCUAAAUCAAACUCUGAGUAGACUCGACCGUGAGACUGUCCUGACGUCGACAUCGUUUCGACAACGCGAUCCUCUUCACGUGAAAGGGAUACAGCGGCUUCUGCGUGAACGGAUCCGAGCGCGUUGCGCGAAAUUCGUUCGAAGAUUCUUCCGCAUGAACCAGAAAUGUCAGCGCGUCCCGCCACCAUCGACGAGCGUCCCGUUUUCGUGUCUCGCGAAUUUGGGCCGACAACAACUUUUCACCUCUCACAAUAUAUCGGCUGUGACGAGGACACAGUUGACUGUGUUUGCUGGUAGCUCGCGACAGCGAGGAGUGCGUGGGCGCUGCUACGCGAUCUAUUUCGACCUGAGAGAGUGUCGAGAGACAAAUUAGACUCGUUACAGUCGUUUAAGUGAAUAAUUAUAAUUCGAUAUAUUUAUUACACGUGCAGAGAAGAAAUAUUAGGACUCGAUUUUAAGAUAUUUCUUCUCUAGACAGCUAUUCUGCUACUAACAAAUGAACCAGUUAUCUUCUGUCUUUGUAAUUAAAAUGAGGCUUUGGAAAAUAAUUAUAGACAUGUCUUAGGAUCAUUUAAAAUUAGUCAGAUUAAUCAUUAUUGUUCAAAAUCAAUUUCAAGCAAACAGUUAGUUUGUACAUCUAGCUUUCAACAAUGAAGCUUUCCGAAUUCUAGUGCUCCUGAGAAUUUUUCAGAAAAUCUGACUAAUUUUAAAUGAUCCUGAGGUAUACUUAUAAAUCAUUUCUCAGUCUCAUUUCAAUUAUGAUGGUAGAAGACAACCAGAUUACUUGUGAAUUUUCAUCAUCCCUGAUUUUUUUUACUCAUUUACAUUCCUACACCUUUGACAGUUUAUUUUAAAAAACUAAUAUAAAAUAAAAAUAUUGAUAAUUUGAUAAGAAAGCAAAGUCCUUCUCAUAAAAGGCUGAUUUUACUAAAAGCUGAGGAAAUAGAAUUUAUGUAAGGAUGAGGCAGCACUUGAAUGCAACGCUUACUUUGGCACGCUUGAGACCUCGGCGAUUCGUUCGCGACGGUUGACGCGUCGCCGCCGACGUUACUUCAGUCCUCUGCUUCGGGGUUCGCUCCUUGUCAGGAUCGCCGAAUAAUCCCUUCGAUUCCGCGACCUUGAUCAUAAAAAGCGAAUCGAACUGCAUCAUCUCCUUUCGUUUUAUUACGGCGACGAAGCAGCCUGGAUCUAGGGUCCGCUCGCUAUCCUCGCCGUAAAUUUCGUCGAUACUUCCCACUUCGAACAAAUCACUGUCGGGGAUCUAAUGAUAAUUUUUACCUUUAAUAACGAACUAUAAUCAUCACUCUCAAGAUUGUACGCGCGUGUUUUUCUUUUUUAUAAAUAAUCUUACGACAAUGUCAUCAGUCGUCAUCAACGAUGAUCCUCCUUCAUCCUCAUCCUCCUGCUUGAUCGAGAGCGUUUGUUCGUGCUGCAUCUGCGAAUGAUCGUCCUGUUCUUGUCUAGCAGGUUGUCUAAUUUUGGAAACUUUUCCGCUACCAUCUUUCGAUGCAGCCUUCCUCUUUGGCUAAAAAAAGAACAAGAAACUAUAUGAAACGAAAUACACAUGGAAUACUUGAAGAGAUACUUUCAACGACCAGCAUGCACUGAUUGAAAGAUGCUCGCGAAUGUACUUCUCCGUGGCUAUUCGAUUGGCGUAUUCGACAACCUGUCGAAUCAUCUCCGUAGUUUCGGACGGGAGAAUCGUGUGCACCUCGUAUAUCAGGAACUGUAUGUUCGGCCUGGUGAGCGCGUGCUUAAGCGUGGAAAAUUGUUCGGCGAGCAGAGCCCGGGGAUGCUUCAUCUCGCCACCCGUCAGGUCGCUGGUCAACGAUUCCAGGAGGCCGAUGUCGCCGCCGCGAGCGACAGCGAGGUCGACGAUGUCCCGGAUGCCGGUGUAGCUGCAUGGGGGAGUUGCUAGAACGACAGUCGCUCUUUCCAGCUCGAUGGAUGUUGGUGGAGAUACGUAUCUGGAACGAAAGAACUCUUUCAGGAUCUUCUACUACUAUUCGAACAAUAUAAUCUUCGGGAUAUCUUCUAAACAUUUUCUGGAUAUGCAUGUCAUAUUUCUUUUGGAUAUUGUGUGGGAUAGUUUUUCUUAUGAAAAAAGAAGAAAUAUUUCUUCUUCUAAGAGAAAGAGAAUUACUUUUCGGAGAAAAUUUGGCAGUGUUGCAGAGUAACGCCCAGGGUCUCGAGAUAAGCCUCGUAUUCGCAGCGACGAUCCCCGGCGCCAAAGACCAACAGUCUCCCGGCGUCCUCGAUGUCAGCCAGGAGUCCCGCCAAGUAUCCCGUGUGACGAGGUGCGAUUGAGUGCGUGAGGAUGACGGGACCACAAAGACGAGCGACGCGGAUCGCCUGGGCCAGCGUAGCUGCUCCGAGACACAAGGAUCUUUCCUAAACAGAUCUCUGCAUUUUUUUUAUAUUCGAUAUCGGUGAAUAAGAUAACUCCAAGGUGGAAAAUCGGUUUUAGCGCCGAUUGAAUAUAUGUAUAUAUAUUCACCAGAAAGAUAAAGCGAUGGCUGUGAACCAGAUCGGACACGGCGAGUCUCUCCCGCGCCUUGUCAUGCAAAUUGAUUAUCUUCGGGCAAACUGUAUCGAAGAUGAAGUCGGUCUCCUUGAGCUCCAUGGUUCUAAUGUCGUCGCAGAAUUCGAGCUUCAGCCGCGACAUGUCUUUAACAAAUUCGUCCUUAUCAGCUACUCUCAUGGUGUUGAUCCAUCCGGAAGCGAUCGCGCCUUCAUCGGACCAGCUGAUUCCUUCAGCGGUGCGCAAAUGCAUUGGAAGAAGCUCGUCUGUAUAAAUAUAGGACAGUUGAUACAAGGAAGGGUCAAUAUAUAUAUAUAUAUAUAAUUGGCAACACUCUAUGUGUAAAACCUUUCUAUAUUGUACAAUAAAGGAACAAGUUUAUGCAAAUAGAAAAUUAGAAAUAACCAAGACUGAGCGCUGAACCGCCGAUACGAAGACGCGAGAUGCUUGCUGCCAGAUGUGUCUUUGCCUUCAAAAGAGCGUUUUCGAUGUUCUUCAAUCCAUAAGUCUGCAAAAGUAUAGCUUCAUUGGCAUAACUCGGAGAGGGUCGCGCAUUUUGGAGAACCUUGGCGGCGAGGACGAUAUCAUUGACACGCCAACCCGGUUCUACGCAAGCCUCCGUCAUCGAACCACCGGAUCCCGAGAUGGCCUUCAAGGAAGCCACGACGUCCUGACUUUCGUCUCUUCUUCCCUUAGGGAGAUGUCCUCCCUCUCUGGGACGCCAUUCCCAGUCAUCCUGCGAAUUCUUGCGGCUCAUAGACCGCUUAAGCUCCUCCGUCCUCGAACAAAAACAUUCGCGUACUUAUGAUCCUUUGGCAAAUUCAAUCUAUUAUACAGCGAAUAGAAUUAUAUUUUGGGAGGUUUUUAAGGUAUAUGCAAUCUUGAUUAUAUGCGAUCUCGGGGACUAAUAUGAGGAAUAUUCAUUCUUUUGGAGAUACAUACAUUUGCGAUUACUUCAGACGCGAAUAUAAAAACGAAAGGAUUGCAAGGACAUAUAUAUGAAAAAUUAUUUUAAUUAAUUAAUUAAUUAAAUGUAUGCGAUUCACACAUCCUUCUAUCAACAUCCUCGAUGACAUCGAGCGAAGUGUAACACGAAAAGAAUUCGCGAAUCAGAGAAAUAUUCAUUUGUCCCAAAACGAUUGCGAUCAGUUAUAUUCUUUUACAUUGUAAUUUACAUCACAUAUCUAUCUUAUACAUAUAUAUAUAUAUAUAUAUAUAUGACAAUUAUGUAUAAUAAUAAUAUAUAACAUAUAUAUAUUUUUGUUCACAAAAUUAUAAAAGCUUAUUAAUCAG
Nylanderia fulva is the source of this 6205-nucleotide RNA transcript. RefSeq lists it as uncharacterized. Lineage: Eukaryota; Metazoa; Arthropoda; Insecta; Hymenoptera; Formicidae. The record is from RefSeq and is a predicted model, not a curated record.